This 239-nucleotide ribosomal RNA is filed under the name uncultured bacterium. Its description in RNAcentral is "partial 16S ribosomal RNA". It matches the Rfam family "Bacterial small subunit ribosomal RNA", at positions 538 to 776 of the family's 1533-position model. The record is from RNAcentral.
GCGUUAUUCGGAAUUACUGGGCGUAAAGGGCUCGUAGGCGGCCAACUAAGUCGGACGUGAAAUCCCCAGGCUCAACCUGGGAACUGCGUCCGAUACUGGAUGGCUUGAAUCCGGGAGAGGGAUGCAGAAUUCCAGGUGUAGCGGUGAAAUGCGUAGAUAUCUGGAGGAAUACCGGUGGCGAAGGCGCCUUCCUGGCCUGUUCCUGACGCUGAGGCGCGAAAGCUAGGGGAGCAAACGGG